RNAcentral lists this long non-coding RNA (12625 nucleotides) under Mytilus galloprovincialis (Mediterranean mussel). The record is from RNAcentral. Lineage: Eukaryota; Metazoa; Mollusca; Bivalvia; Mytilida; Mytilidae.
UGAUUUAACUUUUUUAUUUGACGUUCUGUCUUACAAGAUUUUCAAAUGCUUAUAAAUUUUGCAUAAUUAAAUCUCCUGUAAAAUUCAAACGCUUAAAUUGGCAGGGAUUGUCAAGAAAUACUUUUUUAAAAGCUGUAAACCAAUUAUAUCAUAAAUGUGUAUACUAAAUCGGGAAUAUCAAGUCAAACGUAAAGUUAAUAUAUAUAAUUAUACAAGAAGCAGCGACUCAGUCAGAAAACGGUUCACACCCAAAGUAUUUUUUUUUUCGUGCAACGUUCAUGACAUGAUGACAGAAAACUUUUAACGUGAAAUAACGUCUUAUUUCAUGCUUAUUCAGUGCAAGAACCACCACCCUUACCACCCACUUCACACUUAAUGACCCCCCCCCCCCAAAAAAAAAGAACAAAAACCAAAAAACUAGUCCUCUUUAAACGUAAAUUAUACUCUCAAACUUGUUUUAACUAAAUGUUUACCAUAUAAGACCAUAUAUAUUGAAAUCAUUUCAACAACAGGCUACCGCCGUACUGUCAAGUUUUCAUUCGAAUUUUAAGCUCUGCAUCUUAAAGUUCAAGGUCACAACCAGUUUGUCUUACCUGAACUGGUUCCCUGAUUGCAUUUGGAUAACAGACGUUCUUCUAUCGCACUGCAUGUGUUGAUCACUGACUGUAAGUAGUAGAAGUUGAACUAAAAAAACAGUUUGAAGGUGAGGAUGUUUGUUUCAUUCACAGACCUGGUACCCGUCACCUAUAAUUCUGUAAAUUCCACCUUUCUCAGACGAACCACUUCGGUUUGGAAAUCCUCAGGUUACCUGACAGUGACAGGUAUGAGGAAAAUCUGGAUUCAGAAUAUUUUUUGUCAUUGACAUUUGCUUGACCACAAUAAUGUCAACUGUUCAAUGCUUAUUAAAUAGAGCAAUAAAUUCUCUUACACAGUUUAAAAAAAAAAAAAUUAAAAUUCAGAAUUAAAGUUAUUCAUUAAAACAAUACAUGUACUACCAAAUAUAGACCUAUUCAAGUACACCUUUGGCUUAAUUAAGAAGUUCCGGGUCAAGUCAGAUACCGAUACCAAUAGUAUAUUCACCUGUUACCUAUUACCUUAUCUUUACGUUCCGCAUCUGACAGGCACCACCAAACGGUGUAUUCAGGAUUAAUAUGCUAUAUACACAGGUCAUAAUCACAGGGUUGACACUACUAAAUUGUCAAAUUGUUACCUAUUGUAGUAUUUUAAUCAGUAAGACUUUCUAAGAUAACAAUACGAAUACUAAAAAUCUGGACUAAAAAUAAGGCGUAUAGGUACAGUUUUCAAUUUGUUAGCGGGCAUGACGUAAAAUAGCGAAUCAAAGAAUUCAACUUUAUUUAUAACUAAUUAUAUAGGACCAUGCUGUUGAUUAAAAAAUAUUCAUUCCAGGACCUUUUGUUUUCCAAAUAAUUAUUAUUACCAAUAAUUGAUAAGUUCCAAUUCGACGGGUUCAAACAGAAAGAUUUGAAAGCAGAGAAAACUGUGUAUCUUAUAAUCGGCAUGACUUUAUCAGAUGACAAUACUAAUACUAAAAUAAGGCUUGCGCAUAGUUAUAUACUUUAAUUCAGUCAUGGACCCGCGAUAUCACAGGUGUGUUCUAGUUUAAUUUAAAGUUCUGUAGGACUCUUUGUAAACAAUAAAUGCUGGCAUAAUUAACAUAAUACUUAUUUUAGUGACUUAAUCACAAUGAAAAUCGGUAAGAGAUCAACCUAAUUAAAAGUCUCUGUUUUUUUUUUACAAAAAUCUAAGCUUUACUUGCAUACAACCCCUAUUUUCUAUUCAUUUUUUUCUUUUUUUUCUACUCUAUUCUACCAUAUAUAGUAACCGCCUUCAACAAAAGUAAGAUUUUGUAAUUGAGUUAAUAUUGAUGCUUUGAAAUUGAAGAUUUGAAAGAGUCUACUGAAGUGCAAUUUACAAUGUUAUCCGGUAGUUUAGAUCAGGCCAUGCAAAAAUGAUUGUUUGUUUCCCCCAUCCCUGCUGGGAAUGAAGAUGAAAAAAAAAGAAAGAGUUGUUUUGGUUUUAAAAUUGUCUGAUAUUUUUUAUAUAGUGUUUAGUUUAAACAAUUUAUUUAUUCAGAUAAAUCAACAUUUAACAAUAUUAUACAACAUGCACAAAAGAAAUAAUAUAUAUUAUUUAAUAGCAAUAUAAUAUUUCCAACAAAAAGUAACCAGAGGUUAUAUAUAGCGUGCUAUAAAUUCCAAUAUUGCACUAGUGCAAUAAAUCUUCAGAAUUCAUGACGUCAUGCAAUGUCUUUAUCUACUGUGGAUUCAUUAAUAUUCUUUGGAUAUCAAUUUCCGUGGUUUUCAUGGGUACAGGCCUAGGUGAACCACAAAUUUAAAAGUUCACAAAGAAUAACAAAUUUUCUCUAUUAGAUUGUAUGCAGUAACUUUGCCAAAACCAUGUUCUAAACAAAACAACACAGUGAUAAUUCAAACUGUGCAAUAAAACAUUACUCUGGACUUACUAACUAUUAUUAUUGCAUAGCAAUAUAAUAUUUCCCACAGAUAGUAACCAAAAGUAAUGUAAGUGUGCAAUAAAUCUUCAAAAUUCAUGAAUCUUCGUUUAAACCAAUUUUAACUUUCAAAUAUUAUAUUGCUAUACAAUAAUAACGUUAUUGCAUGAAUAUUGGGGAAUAUUGUCCCUGGUAGAACAUAUUUGAUUGCACUCGCAAUCUCGUGCAAUAACGUAAUUCUACUCUAGACAAUAUUCCCCAAUAUUAAUGCAAUAACCCUAUAAUAUUAUUUUAAUUUAUCGGAUGCUGUGAAAAAGUGUCCUUCAAUUGGACAUUAUUUCAUGAAAAAGUACUAUUAAAUUCUGUCCUACAAGGUUGACUUUCAAUAAGAGAACUUUUUCACAGUGAAAGGUGUCCUUUAAAGGGAGAUAAGAAAAAAUUCACUGAUCAUUAAUUCUGCUAGGUUUUUUUUACCUAUUCUGAAUCAAUUAAAGAAAAUGAAAGAUCUAGUCAAUGGAUCACAGCUUAUUGAGAACCACAAGCACCAAAUCUGAAGAAAUUUCUUACAUGAACAAAAUUCAGUACACAGAAGGUGGCAGAAAUACAAAAAUGCAGGGAUCCCAGAUGUGGAAUGUGCUAAAUGCUAGAAGUGAGACAAAGUAAAAGUAAAGAGUGACUGCCCUUUAUAGUCAACUUUGGUCAAUUUUUUCAUAAAUUUUUAAUUGUAAUUUUUACAAAAAUCUGUUCUGAAACUUUUAAGACAAAUUUAACCAAACUUGUCCACAAUUAUCAUUAGAGUAUCUAGUUUAAAAAAUGUGUCCGAUGACCUGCCUGGCGAACCAAGAUGGCUAAAAAUAGUACAUAGGGUGAAAUGCAGUUUUUAGCUAAAAUCUCAAAAACCAAAACUUUAAAGCAAAUCUGACGAGUUCAAUUUGUUCAUUAGGGUCAAGGUCUAUCUGCCUUGAAAUUGCAAGACUAAUCAGGCAACCUGUUGUUGGGUUGCUGCCACUGUAUUGGUAAUUUUAAGAAAAUUUUUCAGCUUUUCGUUAUUAUCUUGAAUAUUAUUAUAGAUAGAGAUAAACUGUAAACAGCAAUAAUGUAAAGCUAAGUAAGACCUACAAAUAAGUCAACAUCAUGAUGAAAAUGGUCAUUUGACCCCUUAAGGAGUUACAUGUAUUGUCCUUUAUAGUCAAUUUUUAACAAUUUUCCUAAAUUUUGUAAAUCUUGUAAAAUUUUACAAAAUAUUUUAACUACUGGGAUAGAUUUAUGGGUUCAUUAUAGAUAGAGACAAUUGUAAGCAGCAAGAAUGUUCAGUAGAGUAAGAUCUGCAAACACAUCAACAUCAUCAAAAAAUUUUUUUGUCAAGAAUCCAUCCGUGUCCUUUGUUUAUAAUGAUAUGCACAUAGACCUAGGUGGGCGACACAGGCUCUUUAGAGCCUCUAGUUUAAGAUGUGGACCGAAGAUAAAAUUCCAUGUGAAGCCAUUAGGAACCCUAUUUUCUUGAACUGUAUACCGGUAAGCUGACUGUAAAUAGGAAGUGAAAUUCGGUCCGUAAAUAAGAUUCCGUAAUCAGUCAGGGGACUUACUUAAACAAGUGAUUUUCGAAAUCACUGAUUCAAGUAACAUUAUUUCCAUAAAGGUUGGAAGUUAGAGUUGUCUUUCUUUAAUAAUCACCUAUUUAAGUAGUACAAAUUAAUCACUAGAAGAAGUGAUUUAAUUUUAUUGUAGCUUUAAAUAUAGAAUACUAAUGAUCCAGGGACUAAUAAUGUUUCUAAACUUACCAGAAUUCAGAACCAACAUCUGUGUUGUCUAGGAUGACCAGGUCAUUUCAGAUGAUGACCUUGUACUGAAUCUAGGAUAAUGACAUAAAAAUCACUUGUUUAAGUAUCACCCCAAUUUCCUUCCCAAAAAUCACUAAUUUCAACACCCCCCAAACAGUGAAAUUUUUAUUGAGAACAGUAGAAUUUUAUUACAUAAUCUGAAAGAUGAAACCUUGAACUUCACAGGAAAAAUACUCCCACUGCUGUGAAAAAUCUUUGAAGAAAGUACGUAUCAGUGCAUUAUGAAAAGUCAUUAUUAUAGCAUUUUUUCAACUAAAAUAGAAUUUUCAGCUAAAUCAUAGCAUCAAAGGCAUAAACCUUGCUACUUAAAAGAAGCAAAAAGUUCAUAUUUUUUAAUUUUACUAAUUAAAAGAUAUUAUUUAAACCUAUUUGUUUAAAAUUUUGAAAAAACUACAAAAUCCCAAUUUGUGACAAAACCUCAAAUUUGCUACUCAAAUAAAUGAUCAUUUAUUUGAGUAGCAAAUCACUUAUUUCAGUAAGUCCCCUGACUGGUAAUAUAUAUACAAACUACCGCAUGAUGUUACUAUUAGGUAACGUCACAAGUUGUUACUAGUAACGAUAACAGUUCUGUCUGAUGAACUCUAGGAGAUGCGGUGAAAGUGCUAACAGAAACAAUGUUUGAUUUAUAACGUGAUUUUUGUCAAGCCUGCAACUUUUGUUGCAGAAAGCUCGACAUAGGGAUAUAGUGAUCCGGCGGCGGCAUUAGCUAACUUCUUAAAUAAAAUUGAGAAUGGAAAUGGGGAAUGUGCCAAAGAGACAACAACCCGACCAUAGAAAAAAACAACAGCAGAAGGUUACCAACAGAUCUUCAAUGUAACGAGAAAUUCCCGCACCCGGAGGCGUCCUUCAACUGGCCCCUAAACAAAUAUAUAUAUACUAGUUCAGUGAUAAUGAACGCCAUACUAAUUUCCAAAUUGUACACAAGAAACUAAAAUUAAAAUAAUACAAGACUAACAAAGGCCAGAGGCUCCUGACUUGGGACAGGCGCAAAAAUGCGACAGGGUUAAACAUGUUUGUGAGAUCUCAACCCUCCCCCUAUACCUCUAGCCAAUGUAGAAAAGUAAACGCAUAACAAUACGCACAUUAAAAUUCAGUUCAAGAGAAGUCCGAGUCUGAUGUCAGAAGAUGUAACCAAAGAAAAUAAACAAAAUGACAAUACUACAUAAAUAACAACAGACUACUAGCAGUUAACUGACAUGCCAGCUCCAGCUCCAGACAGCUUUAUAUUUUAAAAGGUAUAAGACCUGGAUGCUUCAUACUUUGUAUAUAGAUGCCUCAUGUUACGAACUUUCCGUCAGUCACAUGUCCAAUGUCCUUGACCUCAUUUUCAUGGUUCAGUGACUACUUGAAAAAAAAGUUAAGAUUUUUUGUAAUGUUAAAUUCUCUCUUAUUAUAAGUAAUUGGAUAACUAUUUUUGGUAUCUGCGUACCUUGCAAGGUCCUCAUGUCUGUCAGACAGUUUUCACUUGACCUCGACCUCAUUUCAUGGAUCAGUGAACAAGGUUAAGUUUUGGCGGUCAAGUCCAUAUCUCAGAUACUAUAAGCAAUAGGUCUAGUAUAUAUAUUCAGUGUAUGGCAGGACUGUAAGGUGUACAAGUCCAACUGGCAGGUGUCAUCUGACCUUGACCUCAUUUUCAUGGCUCAGUGUUUAUAGUUAAGUUUUUGUGUUUUGGUCUGUUUUUCUUAUACUAUAUAUAUAUAUAGCUAUAUGCAAUAGGUCUACUAUAUUUGGUUUAUGAACUGAUUGUAAGGUGUACAUGCCUAGCUGACAGGUGUCAUCUGACCUUGACCUCAUUUUUAUGGUUCAGUGGUCAAAGUUGAGUUUUUGAGUUUUGGUCUAUUUUUCUAAUACUUUAUGCAUUAGGUCAACUAUAUUUGGUGUAUGGAAAUAUUUUAUGAUCUAUAUGUUUGUUACACAGGUUUUAUUUGACCUUGACCUCAUUUUCACGGUCCAUUGCUAAGUGUUAAGUGUUUGCGUUUUGGUCUGUUUUUCUUAAUUUAUAAGCAAUAAGUCAAAUAUAUUUGUUGUAUUGAAGAAUUGUUAGCUGUACAUGUUUGUCUGGCAUGGUUCAUCUGAUCUUGACCUCAUUUUCGUGGUUCAUUCAUGAUUGAUCAAUGUUUUGUUUUCUUGUUUAGUGUUGAGUUUAUGUAACAGUUGUAAUAAAGCUUUAUAUUUAGGUCUAUUAACAUAAUAUCAAUGAUUAGUAAAGAAGGCGAGACAUUUCAGCGUUUGCACUCUUGUUUGUGCUUUUUAUUUUUAAGCUAUAUAUAUAUAUAUAUAUGUUCUUUGAAAAUUUCCUAAUACAUUGUAGGUCAUCAAAAAUGUGUGUCAUUAAUAUUUACAUGUACUUGGGACCUUUUUAAUGUUCAAAACUGUUCUAUUUGCUUAAAAGUAAUCUGAAGCAAUUUCUAGACAUGCUUCUAUCAUCAAGGUAAAAAGCCUUGUGACCUAAAUAUUGAUAAAUCAGUUAAGCUAAAAAAAAAAUUUUCAUUAAUAAAACAAUUUACAGAUGAUUAAGUAUAAAACAAUUAUAUAUCUAUUUCAAGGAAACUAUAAGAAUGUUUAAAAGUUUAAAAAGUCACAGAAUCUAAAUAAAAAAAUUGUAACUUUGCAUUAUUUGUUAAAGGGACACUCAGUGACAGUAUGGACUCAGUUCAUCAUUAUGAUAGGAGCACAUGUCCUGUGCAUGCUGUGUAUAUAGUAUAAUAGAUUUAUUAUGUCUAGUCUAUCUUAAGUUUGGUUAAACUGCCCACUGGGAAAACAUUAUUACAUGUUUACAUUCCCAAUUACUACUAUUAGUCAAUUAUGUGUGAAAAAUUUCAAUUUCAUGGGUUUUAAUCCCCCAGGAUAUAAAUGAAGAUAUAAAACUUUUAUUCUCAGUACUGUCUCAGUUACUUACUUAAAGACAAUAAAAAUAUAAAAUUAGGGUAAUAUAAUAUUCCCCCAAAAAAUGAACAUUGAGAAGUUCUCACUCUGAUACACAUUUCAAAGAUCAUAUAAAUCAUAUAUAUCUUUUUUGAAUUAGAUGUGAGGACAUGAUGGGUAAUUUAUAAACUCUUUCCUUACUUAGAAAAAGCACCUGGUUUCCGUAAGAGCAGAACAUUUCAAGGGGAGGAUGCAGAGCCUCUAUAUAUUUACAGUUCUCCUGGAUACUGAUUUGUGAACAUGUAAAAAUAAGGCAGAUAAAUCACUCAUGUAACCUCAACAACGAUAGCGACAAAUGUAUAAUUUUAUUUACUUUUUUCAAUUUCUCAUUGAUGUGAUGUAAAUUUUCUGUUAGAAACUCACACGACUGUCUAUCUAAAUUAGUGUGACAGUUGCACAAGACUGUUUUAUCUUAAUUUUGCAGAUUUUUUUUUCUAGGUGUACAACUGUGCAAGUAUUGAACAUCAGCUUGAAAUGCAAUGUGACCUAAAAGACAGCAUAAUAAUGGACAGAUGUAAGUAAUGAUAAAAUAGUCAAUGAUAUGGGAAAUGUAUGAAAUUGUAAGAAAAAAGUUGACAGACAUAUUAUUUUACACCUGUCCCUCCGUCGGUCAGUUAGCUAUAGGUCAAAGUACAGCCUUCAACAAUGAGCAAAGCUCAUACUGCAUAGUCAUAUAUAUAUAAGCCCUGAAAUUACAAUUGUAAAACAAUUCAGAACUAAUGACCUUAAUAUUAAUAUACAAAUAAAAUAACUAAAAACAAAUAUAUGCAACACAGCAACAUACAACAACCACUGAUUGUCCAGGUUCCUGACUUGGGACAAGCACAGAAGAUGGCAGGAUUAAACAUGUCGGCGGGAUCCAAGCCUUCAUAAAAUCAUGUAUUUUAGAUAUUCUCCUCAAGAAAAUCUGAUACAUGUAUAUCAGAAAUGUAAUUAACAUCAACCAUUGUCAACACUUUUAAAAGUUGUAUUUAACUUUAUUUAAUUUAUUCUUAUACAAAGAAGAUGUGGUAUGAUUGCCAAUCAGACAAUUCUCGACAAGAGACCAAAUGACACAGAAAUUAACAACUUAAGGUCACUGUACUGCCUUCAACAAUGAGGAAAGCCCAUACCACAUAGUCAGCUAUAAAAGGCCUCCAAAUGACAAAUGUAAAACAAGAAAACAAAAAACUAACUGCCUAAUUUAUGUACAAAAAAUGAACAAAAACAAAUAUAUGUAACACAUCAACACAUCAACAAAUGACAACCACUGAGCACUGCAUUAAAGACUCCUGACUUGGAACAGGCACAUACAUUACAUUGUACCUUAAUAUUUUAAUUCACAUAUUGGUAUAAAAUCUAUUAUGUUUUUUUACUCAAAUUUUUUUUUUAGAUUGUAUAAUGGUAUGAUGUCGUGGUCAUCAUCGUCCGAAGACACAUUGUUUUCCGGAUAAUAACUUUAGUUUAAGUGAUUAGAUCUUUAUGAAAUUUUCUCAGAAGGUUCAAAAGAGGGACGAAAGAUACCAAAGGGACAGUCAAACUCAUAAAUCUAAAACAAACUGACAACACCAUGGCUAAAAAGACAAACAGAAAAACAAUAGUACACAUGACACAACAUAGAAAACUAAAGAAUAAACAAAAAGUACCAAAAAAGGAAGGUUGGGAUCAAUUUUGUGAAUGAUGGUCCCAACUGUUUAGGGAUAAGGGGCCCAAAACAAGCAUUUUUCUAGUUUCAGGAUAAUAACUUAGUGUACAAGUAUUUAAAUUGCUCUGAAAUUAUACCUUAAUGUUGAGACCACACGUAGAAGGUUAUGAUUCAUUUGAGAGGUUAUGGGGCCAAAGAGAACUUGUAAACGGUUCAGAUCCCUACCCCUAAACCAUAUAUAUUCUUGAAUGGAACAAUUUAACAAAUCAAACCAAAUAUAGGGGGAGUCUAUGGGGUUACCCCACACCCUUUUGUUAGAAUACUUGUAAACAGUAGAGAUCCCCACCUCUAAACCUUAUAUAUUCUUGUAUGGGAUAAUAAAACAAAUCUAAUAAAAUAUGGGACCAUGGAAAUGGCAAAUUAUGGGAGCUUUGUUUGGAAGAUUUCGUAACAGCAUCCUGUUACAAUUACUUCUUGUUUAUUACACAUAUUUUAGUGUAUUAAAGUAAUUAUACUGCUUCGACCUUUCAAAAUUCUAAGAAAGCUCUAUCUCUUUAAUGGAUAAAUAAAUGAAACUAGUCAAGAACUCAACAGAUAAUUUUUUUUCAGGUUCUCUGAUUGUAAGUACCUGUUGGCCACACACAUGAAUACUCUCAUUGAUCCUGCAUUCAGCUAAAUAUCAGAAAAAUUAAGAACAAAGGAAAAUAUGCUGAAACUGUACAGUCACUGGUCAGGAUUAUUUCAGAAGUGCAAUUAUAAUACAAUAUAUGUUACUGGUUAAUUUCUAUGAUUUGUAAAUUGAAACAACACACAGAGGCUUUGCAUUAUUGUUUUACAAGAAAGACACCAAAAGAUGCAGUCAACAUUUAUCAUUUUUAUCAAAAUACGCCCAGGACAAACCAUGGGUACACUUAGCUUGAAAGAUGGUGCUUUCAUAUCAAAAUUGCCUGGAAGUAAAAGAAAUAAAGAACCAAAAUUCAUGUCAGCAAUCAGGGGAUAAGAUGAAAGAAUACAGAAUAAGGUACUGUCAUGUUCAGUCUUUAUAAGAGUCCUGAUGCUCUAUAUAUACAAAUGUAUAUGCAUUUUGUUAUGCCCCGUCAUAGCAGUGGGGGCAUUUAGUUUUAUCCUUGUAUGUUUGUACAUAAUAUUAGAUUUAAGAAGAUGUGGUAUGACUCCCAAUGAGACAACUCUCCAUCCAAGUCACAAUUUGUAAAAGAAAAACCAUUAUAAAUAGGUCAAAGUACAGUCUUCAACACAUGUACAGAGCCUUGGAUCACACCCAACAGUAAGCUAUUAUUAUUUAAAAAAAAAUUACUAGUGUGCAACCAGCUUUGAAACAUUAAACCAAAGGUUUAUUCUAUAUAAAAAAAGAGAAAAGAGAAACACUUAUAGUGCAUGAUUUUCUCACUUUGUUGAAGACCCAUUGGUGGACUUUGGUUGUUGUCUGCACUUUGGUCGGGUUGUUGACAUAUUCCCCGCAUUUCCAUUCUCAAUUUUAUUAAGAAGUUAUUGAACUUUAUUCUUUGAAAAUGUGAUGGAGGUAUCAUGUGCACAUGGCGAAUCUGUUUAUUUGUUUUAGUUCACUAUAAACUUAAGUUUGCUUAACCAAAUGUACUGAAACUUAUACACAAUGCUUAUAACCACAAAACUCAGAUCAAGUACUCAUUUGGGUACUGUGUGUCACUUUUACCAUUCUUAAUUUAUGACCCCUUAAAAUGUUAUAUGCAAGCAGGGGCAUAAUCUGUGUCCCAUGGACCCAUUCACCAUUUAUUUAUUCACAGAAUUUUGAAAGGAAUAAAUAAUCCAUGAUGUUCAUAUAGAUAAAAUAUAUUGUUUCAAGAAUUUUUAUCUGUUUAUUACAGAUGAAACGAAACUCUAACAACAUGAACAACACAAAAAAUAACUAAAUAGCAUAGAUGCAGUUUUGACCUAUAUCAUGUAUAUUUAUAUAAAAAUAAUGAUGAUUGCCAAUGAGACAACUAUCCACCAAAGUUUGAAUAAAGUGGAUAUAAGCAGUUUUAGGUAACUGUACACCCUUAUGAAUGAUAAAAACCUGUACUGUACAUAUAGUCCGCUGUAAAAGGUCCCGACAAGAAAAAAUAUGAACAAAAACAUUUGAGAAAACUAAAGGCCUAAUUUAUAUAAUUUACAACAAAACAAGUAGCGAAAAUCAAAUGUAUAACAUAAGUAAACCAACGACUUAUGGAAUUACUGGCUCCUGACUUGGGACAGGCACACAAAGAAUGUGGCAGGUUAAACAAAUUUUUGGUUGCUCAAACCUCCCCUAACCUGGGACAGUGGUGUUACAGCACAACAUAAGAACAAACUAUAAAAAUCAGUUGAAAAGGUUUCAUCAUAUUUGUAUAGGUCAACUGUCUUGAAAUGAUCAACAAGUGAUUGUAGAAUUGAAUAACCAAAAACACACAAACAUCUACUGUCAACACCAAAUUCCCCAAAACAAAAGCUUUAAGGGGGAUCGCAGGCAUAAAACAAUUUUUGUUUUUAAACAUAGAAUUUUGCUAUUUUUUUUCUAGAAAUAAACUUUAUAUAUCCUAUACUUAAAUAGAAAAAUAAAAGUAUAGGGUCACCGUUCAUUAAAGCUCACAAUCUGCCUUCGAAAGAAGCAUGUAUUUUUUGCUAAGUACCUUUUUACUGUAGAACUAAAACAUGUAAUAGGACAAAAUGUAAGAGGAAAAAAAAUGUAAUUUCAAAAUAUAAAGAACUAAAUUACAGAAAUUGCUUAAAUUUUACAAUAGUUGAGUUUUAGUACAGCUUAUUUUGAGAAAAAAAUAAUGAAAAAAUAUAAGUCACCCAUGAGUUGAAAAAGAUGUUUCAAUUUUAAUGCCAAAAAAUUGGCAUUUUUUCAUCUAAGGGAGAUAAUUUAGAGCUUUUUCAGUGGUAUAAACAUUUCAAAAAUCAUCUGGGGCCAAAACAAAUAGAUUUUUUGGUUGAUUUUUGUACCAUAUCAUAUAUUAACCUCUAAUAGUAUAAGAAAUAAAAUUUGUAAUGAAAAAAAAAAAUGUUUAAAUUUUUGCUGAAUUUUUAUACCCUCAAGCAUCCUUAAGAUACAACUUUAGGUGACAGGAAAUGUCUUGACUUGGGAAAGCCACAUGCAAACUCAAUGUUGCUCCCCUUGUAAAUCUCGAUUAGUGUUUUUAAAAAGAAAAAAAGUUAACAUAAAAGAAUGCAGGUUGUCAGGAUCACAUUCAAUUGGAGAAAGGGAAAAGAACACAACUUUACACUAAAUAAUUUUGAAAACUUAUUGCCUAUACUAUCUUUAUUGAUAACAGACUGAGCCAAAAACGUUUUCAUCUACUAGUACGGACACUAAAUAUCAAAACUUGUGCCUAUAUAACUAUAUAAAAUUUUAAUAAUAUAUACUAGUCCGAAUCAAUAUUUACUGGUCUGGGGCAUUGGACUAGUGGCUAACAGUGCAGACUGUGAUAAAAAAAAUUCAGAAACAUUAUGUACAUUAUGAUCAUUGUGAUUGUGUUAAACAUCAGACAAGGCAAUCAAAAUGGUCAGAGGGGGCAAAGAAGUUUUGUUAUAAAUGUCAAAUGGUUAUAGUCUCAACCUAUCAACAUGAUCAAAAUUGUUGAUUUCACAGUUAAUAUUUACUUUUAGCAUGUUCAGCGGAAUAGAAUGUUUUUGUUAUAUUUUAUUAAAUGUUAAUUUACUUUGUUCUUAUAGGCAGGAGUGAAAGGAAGAGAAAACAAGGCAUCAGUAAAGAAGCAGAUCAAUUUAUAUUGAUAUGUAAUAAUUCCA